GAUAGCACUAUUUGGAUGACAGAGGCGUGAAGCUUGAUGUCCGAGACUCGCUUGGACUGGGCCUACUGGUGUGGGGAGCUCGAGAGGGCAACAGUCAAGUCGGCUACACCUGGACUGGAGUGACGGUUCAACGCUGCGGUGGAUGAACUGAGGAUUGACAAGUCUCCGGCCUGGAUCGACUGGUGAAACAGCUCAUGGUGUGUGGAAAGCCUUGUUGCUACUUCGAAGGAAGGUUUGGGGAAUCCAGUUUCCUGUAGUGACAACUUGGCUAGCCAACAUCUCCAGUAAUUAUGGGAGGUUUUGUACUUUUUGGUCACAGUUUCGUAAAGAGAAUGAGGAACAGGCAUGGUUUUGCAUAUGAGGUAGAACUGCAGAGAAGCAAAAUCCCUAUCGCAUGUAUUGGCGAAGGUGGGUUGACUUUCGACCGGGUCCUGUGUAACCAAGGCCGUUAUUUCCGACAGUUACAGAAAUUGCAACCCACAGUAUUAAUUAUUGAUUUGGGAACAAACGACCUGUGUUCGGUUGAGCGAACCCCUAGCCAGGUUCACACCUCACUUUGUAAUAUGGUGUCUGCUCUUCAUAAGUGGGACGUAUACCCCGAUACUUUGGUGUUUUUACCAGUUUUGCCACGAACCGGGGGGUUGAGAAGCUACCAAGUGUCAUUGCAGACAUUUAAUAGGAGAGUCAAAGAUUUCAAUGAGCUGUUGGAAAAGUCCACGUUCCUUGAAGAUCGAUGGUGGGUUUGGCGCCAUCGGGGUCUCAAGAACCCGCGUUUUAGUUUAGAUGGGGUGCAUCUUAAUUCGGAAGGAAUGCUACAGUAUGAGAGGACACUACGAAAGUUACUUAAGUUUUUCGACUCUCGUAUCUGGUUUUAGCUUCAAGGACACGAUUAUUAAGCUACAUUUGUAACUGAUUAGAGUAUUCAUACAUGUAAAUUCAAAAGAGGAGUUGUAUCAUGUAACAGAGUAUAAUGUGUAUAGAGUUUAUCGAGAUUUUGGGCCAAUCAUUGUAACUUUUAAAUAACUGUUAUUUGAGGAUAUAGAAGACAGCCUGAAUGGAUACAUAGCAGUACACGUAUUCAUUUUUAUCAAUUGUUAUUCAAGCUUGUUGUAUUUCCAGUUUUUCCUUGUUUAUAAUAAGUAUGUGUAGUAAGGCAAAUAAUGUAUGCUGUAAAGAAACGACAUUUUGAUUUUGUUUGAUCCUGUGAAAGCAUUACUUUUAACCUUGAUCUCCAGGAGUUGAUCACCCAAGUAGGGGAGUUUGUAGCGAAAUAAUCUUUUGUCAGGCCAUGCAUGUUGUUAUUAUUGCGAUCAAGAGAGGGCGCCAGACAAGACCUAUAAAAAGUAUCCGUAUCUGGGCAGACCCACCAAGAUCGCCAGGGUCAUACGCUAGACAAUAAAUGGUUACAAUGUAUACAUUUGGAGGCGCGGGAAAAGAGUACGCGCAACAGGAAAAAUGAGUGGCAGAAUGAUAUGUGGAAACAUGAGGGAAGUUUCGGCAUGAUUUUCGGUGGACAGAAGCAAAAUAAAUCAGCUCGACAAGUAAAUCACA
This 1551-nucleotide long non-coding RNA is filed under the name Patiria miniata (bat star). Its description in RNAcentral is "uncharacterized LOC119720834". Lineage: Eukaryota; Metazoa; Echinodermata; Asteroidea; Valvatida; Asterinidae. The record is from RNAcentral.